This 503-nucleotide ribosomal RNA is filed under the name uncultured bacterium. Its description in RNAcentral is "partial 16S ribosomal RNA". It matches the Rfam family "Bacterial small subunit ribosomal RNA", at positions 28 to 523 of the family's 1533-position model. The record is from RNAcentral.
GAUGAACGCUGGCGGCAGGCUUGACACAUGCAAGUCGAGCGGGGUGAUGGUGCUUGCACUAUCACUUAGCGGCGGACGGGUGAGUAAUGCUUAGGAAUCUGCCUAUUAGUGGGGGACAACAUCUCGAAAGGGAUGCUAAUACCGCAUACGUCCUACGGGAGAAAGCAGGGGAUCACUUGUGACCUUGCGCUAAUAGAUGAGCCUAAGUCGGAUUAGCUAGUUGGUGGGGUAAAGGCCUACCAAGGCGACGAUCUGUAGCGGGUCUGAGAGGAUGAUCCGCCACACUGGGACUGAGACACGGCCCAGACUCCUACGGGAGGCAGCAGUGGGGAAUAUUGGACAAUGGGGGGAACCCUGAUCCAGCCAUGCCGCGUGUGUGAAGAAGGCCUUAUGGUUGUAAAGCACUUUAAGCGAGGAGGAGGCUCUUUUGGUUAAUACCCAAGAUGAGUGGACGUUACUCGCAGAAUAAGCACCGGCUAACUCUGUGCCAGCCGCCGCGGUAA